GGGGAAUCUUGCGCAAUGGGCGAAAGCCUGACGCAGCAACGCCGCGUGAGUGAUGAAGGCCCUCGGGUCGUAAAGCUCUGUCAGAAGGGAAGAAUUAAUGACGGUACCUUCAAAGGAAGCACCGGCUAACUCCGUGCCAGCAGCCGCGGUAAUACGGAGGGUGCAAGCGUUACUCGGAAUCAUUGGGCGUAAAGCGCACGUAGGCGGUCUCUUAAGUCCGAUGUGAAAUCCCGGGGCUCAACCUCGGAUGGCCAUUGGAAACUGAGAGACUUGAGAGUGGAAGGGGUCAGUGGAAUUCCUGGUGUAGGAGUGAAAUCCGUAGAGAUCAGGAGGAACACCGGUGGCGAAGGCGACUGACUGGGCCAUUUCUGACGCUAAUGUGCAAAAGCGUGGGGAGCAAAC
RNAcentral lists this ribosomal RNA (402 nucleotides) under uncultured bacterium. Its description in RNAcentral is "bacterial SSU rRNA". It matches the Rfam family "Bacterial small subunit ribosomal RNA", at positions 356 to 773 of the family's 1533-position model. The record is from RNAcentral.